GUUUAUGUUUACAAUUCAAAUACGUUUUAUAAUUUUUAUUAUAUUUAUAUUUUUAUAAUUUAUAUUAUUAUAUAUAUCAAAUACGAUAUAAAUACACAAAUUAUUAGCUUUAAUUCACAAAACGGGUUGAGUAGGAAUUUUACUUUGUUUUGAAACGGCGCCGAUUCAACUUAAUAUGAAGCCACAAAAUCUUGUUCCUUCCCUUUGUCAUUCCCUUUCUCUCUCUGUAUCUUCUCUCUUGUGUUCUUCUCUCUAUCCGAAUUCAGGAACAAGACUAUUGGUUAUCCCAAACCCAGAUACUAAAGGAAUCUCGCCGUUACCGCCUUUUGUCACCGUGUCGGCAGUCGAACGCCAGUAACCAUAAUUCUUCCGAACCUUGUCUUUAACUCCUGAACAUCCCAUGAGACUAUCUUCCCCUGUUGAAUUCCUCCGAUCUGUUUUUUGAUUUCGGGAUUUUCUCUGAAACUGGUCUGGUGUUCCUAGAUUUAAACUCCUAUGCUUGCUUUUAUGGUGACUUUGCUUGCUUAUUCUUUUAUGACCGCUGAUCACUUCGUCCGAGGAGUUUUUAUUUGAUGGUUGAUUCCUGGGUAGCUGUUUUCUGCUAAUGAAUUGCAGGCGUUCUGGGCUGCCUCUGCUCGCUGCUUCUGUCGUGCUUCCGCUGGCCGCCAGUGACCAGAAAGCCCUUUUUCCGAAUCUCCUCUUCCUUCUUUUCACUAUGGCUAACUCUGUUCGUAAAAAAAAAAAAACCCCCUUCGUAGAGCCACUUAGAUUUAAACCCAAAAUCAAAUCCGCCACCACCAGAACUCCUUCAACCGUUGAAUCAAAGCCACCAAAAAGUCUUUAACUUCCUUCUUACCUUUUCUCUAGUAUUCAAAUUGCAAAACCCCAGAAAUCUUCCCAAAAGGCAAAUUCCAAUCGAAACUCAAAAUCAAAAAGAUCUCGUGAAAACUUCUUUCAAUUUUUAUUUUAUUUUAUUUUUUCUGCUUGUGGUGAUUGUCACUGUUUUGAUGCUUGAUUAUUGACAGGUUUGUUGGGUGGAUUCGGGUUUUUGUCUUGGUUCUUGCUGCUGGGAAUUGGUUUGUGUUUAGGUUUCCUUGCUGGGUUUAGGCUCUAAGAUUAUUGCUUGAUAAAUGCUUCUGUCAAUCGUACUUGAGUUGUUGAAUUCUGGUUAAGGCUGUUUGAUGGGGAAUUAGGUUUUUUGGCUUUGGAGAAGAGUAUGGGUAAAAGUGGAUUAAUGACUGGGCGUGGCUAAUCGCGGUGAGAAAUUGCUCACUGGCUCUGUUGAAUCUUAUCCCAUUGAGCUGCUAAUGAGUUGUUUUUAUAACAAAUUUCAGUCCAAAAAUUUGUAAGAAAGAUUUAGAGGAAUCGAAUCUAUCAAGAUUCGAUUUUAACUUUGCAUAAUUUUCUUAUAUUUUUCGUAAAAAUUGGUUCCAAGUAUUGUCAAAUUCAAGCUCACAGAAUUUUAAAGAAAAUUCAUAGAAUCAAAAUUUCCUAACAUUUUUUAAUGUUAAAAAACCAAAAAAAAUAAAUAAAUAAAUAAAAAAUACUUUUCAAUAUUUAAAUUUUAGCUUAAAAAAUGACUUUUAAAAUUUAAUAUUAAAAUAACUUUUAAAAUCUAAUAUUAAAAUAUAAUUUGAGAUUCAAUAAUAUCAAAAGAUUUUGAACAAAAUUGAGUUUUUAUGGUUAUAUUUUUUUACACGUUUUUUGUAAAAUAGGAAAGAUACAAAAAUAAAUAUAGUUAUUUUGUUUGGCUUAAAAAAAUUUAAAAAGGUUUUUUCUUAAUAAAGAUUAGGAAAAUUUGAAAAUCUCAUUUGAAAAUCUUUCAUUGCAUUUUGAGAUUUUGGCAAUAAACCUAAAAUUGUAUUCAAAAGUUUUAAAGAUGAGAUACUUGAAAGUUUUGAAAAAAAGAUAUUGGAGGGUUUUAAAAAUGAUUUUUGAAAGGUUUUAAGGUGUAUUUAGAAAUUUUAGAAAAAAGAUACCCAGAGAUUUUGAAAAUGAUUUUUGAAAGAUGAUGGACAGAGGUUUUUAAAAAGAGAUAUUUGAAGGUUUUGAAAAGAAGUAUUUAAAAGUUGUUUGGAAAAUGAUAAUUGAAAGUUUUAAAGAUGAUACCCGAAGGUUUUUAGAAUGAUAUUCAAAGAUUUUUAAAGAUGAUACCUAGAGACUUUCAAAAGUUUACUUUUUAUGGAUUAUGUAUGUAAGUUCUAUAAAUCAUGCUUGAAGGUCUUAAAGAUUAUUCUAAUUUUUGAAUAAUCUCCUCCUUAAUAGAAAUUUUGAUAAUCUUAUCUAAAACUUAUCUAAAAAGGUACUUGUAGGUUUUAGGGAUCAUACCUUAAGGUUUUGUAAGUCAUUAUCAUCUUUGAAAAAGGUUCUCCUUAAUAGACUUUUUGGAACUUAAAAUUAAAAAUAAAAAAAGC
Molecule: long non-coding RNA, 2414 nt
Filed under: Durio zibethinus
Lineage: Eukaryota; Viridiplantae; Streptophyta; Magnoliopsida; Malvales; Malvaceae
Description: long non-coding RNA (DZIB_LNC002123)
Source: RNAcentral